RNAcentral lists this ribosomal RNA (252 nucleotides) under uncultured Bacteroidales bacterium. Its description in RNAcentral is "partial 16S ribosomal RNA". It matches the Rfam family "Bacterial small subunit ribosomal RNA", at positions 524 to 776 of the family's 1533-position model. The record is from RNAcentral. Lineage: Bacteria; Pseudomonadati; Bacteroidota; Bacteroidia; Bacteroidales.
UACGGAGGAUGCGAGCGUUAUCCGGCUUUAUUGGGUUUAAAGGGUGCGCAGGCGGCGAGUUAAGUCAGCGGUAAAAUUUCGGGGCUCAACCCCGACAAGCCGUUGAAACUGGCUUGCUAGAGUUGGGGAAAGGCAGGCGGAAUGCGCGGUGUAGCGGUGAAAUGCAUAGAUAUCGCGCAGAACCCCGAUUGCGAAGGCAGCCUGCCGGCCCCACACUGACGCUGAGGCACGAAAGCGUGGGUAUCGAACAGG